AUACGUAGGUGGCAAGCGUUGUCCGGAAUUAUUGGGCGUAAAGCGCGCGCAGGCGGUCCUUUAAGUCUGAUGUGAAAUCACGUGGCUCAACCACGUGCGGUCAUUGGAAACUGGAGGACUUGAGUGCAGAAGAGGAAAGUGGAAUUCCAAGUGUAGCGGUGAAAUGCGUAGAGAUUUGGAGGAACACCAGUGGCGAAGGCGACUUUCUGGUCUGUAACUGACGCUGAGGCGCGAAAGCGUGGGGAGCAAACAGGAUUAGAUACCCUGGUAGUCCACGCCGUAAACGAUGAGUGCUAAGUGUUAGGGGGUUUCCGCCCCUUAGUGCUGCAGCAAACGCAUUAAGCACUCCGCCUGGGGAGUACGGUCGCAAGACUGAA
This 377-nucleotide ribosomal RNA is filed under the name uncultured bacterium. RNAcentral's name for it is "bacterial SSU rRNA". It matches the Rfam family "Bacterial small subunit ribosomal RNA", at positions 523 to 898 of the family's 1533-position model. The record is from RNAcentral.